AGGACGAACGCUGGCGGCGUGCUUAACACAUGCAAGUCGAGCGACGCUCCUCCUUCGGGAGGAUGACGGAGCGGCGAACGGGUGAGUAACACGUGGGCAACCUGCCCCUAGCUCUGGGAUAACCCCGGGAAAUCGGGACUAAUACCGGAUAUGAAGUCGGACGGCAUCUUCUGACUUGGAAAGUUUUUCGGCUAGGGAUGGGCCCGCGGCCUAUCAGCUUGUUGGUGGGUAACGGCCUACCAAGGCGACGACGGGUAGCCGGCCUGAGAGGGCGACCGGCCACACUGGGACUGAGACACGGCCCAGACUCCUACGGGAGGCAGCAGUGGGGAAUAUUGCACAAUGGGCGAAAGCCUGAUGCAGCGACGCCGCGUGAGGGAUGACUGCCUUCGGGUUGUAAACCUCUUUCAGCAGGGACGAAGCGAAAGUGACGGUACCUGCAGAAGAAGCACCGGCCAACUACGUGCCAGCAGCCGC
This 477-nucleotide ribosomal RNA is filed under the name uncultured bacterium. RNAcentral's name for it is "SSU rRNA". It matches the Rfam family "Bacterial small subunit ribosomal RNA", at positions 26 to 518 of the family's 1533-position model. The record is from RNAcentral.